Molecule: ribosomal RNA, 253 nt
Filed under: uncultured bacterium
Lineage: Bacteria
Description: partial 16S ribosomal RNA
Rfam family: Bacterial small subunit ribosomal RNA
Source: RNAcentral
UACGGAGGGAGCUAGCGUUGUUCGGAUUUACUGGGCGUAAAGCGCACGUAGGCGGCGCAGCAAGUCAGGGGUGAAAUCCCGGAGCUCAACUCCGGAACUGCCCUUGAAACUGCAGUGCUAGAAUCCUGGAGAGGCGAGUGGAAUUCCGAGUGUAGAGGUGAAAUUCGUAGAUAUUCGGAAGAACACCAGUGGCGAAGGCGACUCGCUGGACAGGUAUUGACGCUGAGGUGCGAAAGCGUGGGGAGCAAACAGG